GGUUGCACAGUGGUUAGAGCACUUGGCUGCUAACCAAAAGGUUGGCGGUUUGAACCCACUAGCCA
Molecule: transfer RNA, 65 nt
Filed under: Loxodonta africana (African savanna elephant)
Lineage: Eukaryota; Metazoa; Chordata; Mammalia; Proboscidea; Elephantidae
Rfam family: tRNA
About the family: Transfer RNA (tRNA) molecules are approximately 80 nucleotides in length. Their secondary structure includes four short double-helical elements and three loops (D, anti-codon, and T loops).
Source: Rfam by way of RNAcentral